This is a non-coding RNA of Oncorhynchus mykiss (rainbow trout), 657 nucleotides long. The record is from RefSeq and is a predicted model, not a curated record. Lineage: Eukaryota; Metazoa; Chordata; Actinopteri; Salmoniformes; Salmonidae.
CAUCAGGUAAGCAGCACUGGGCUGUAUUGACGUAUCCUAAAAAUGCUAUCUGCUGAUUUAGAUUGAACGGUCAUAUCUCAGUUAUUGUUUUCAUAUCGAUAAAAAAUAAGCUGUUUUCUUUAAUUUCAGAGUGUGAGCUGAUCAAGGGGUUGAAAAGAUAGAUAUUGCCAGAUGUUCACUGUCCAAGGAACAGGCCGUGGAAGCUUUAUUGCUAGCAAAAAUGUCCAUAACCAGAGGUUAUAUCAGCUGUUUUGGUGAACCCCUCCCACAUCUGAACUGACUGACACAGAGGGCACAGCAUGAUCAUAGGUACGUUUAGAUGUGAGAGCCAGUCCCGUCAUCGCCACCUCACCUGCUCUUAAGAUAUCUUUCGGGCCAACUGGGGGCCCGAGGCUGGUCAGGACAAUUGUGAUGAACUGAGAGAAUGUUAGGGCAUCACUGUAAUUCAUGAGUCAUAUGCUGUCUACCGCUGUUCUUACCUCUUUCCCUUUCUGUCUUCUAUACCUCUCGCCACACCUCAUCUUUCUUCCUCGUUUUAUAAUGCACACCACAUGUGCAUUGAAGUACAGAUUGAACUUGUAUUUAUAAUAUAGUAUUACAAUUAUCAUAAUUAUUAUGCAUUUAUGUAACUUUUUUCAAUAAAGCAUUUCACAUUCA